CGAAAUAAUAAGCGACAACGCGUGACGUCACGAAGCAACAUGUCGAAUCUUGUUCACAGUGUUCUUCGUUAAGACGCACAUCAGUCACAUCAGUGUUUCAGUGUAUUAAUCUUUGUGUCUAAUAUAGUGUAAUAUAUCUAAUAUAGUGUAUAUCAGUGUAUAAUUAUAUUUUUAUAUAACUUAAAAGUUAUUUGUCGAUUAGCAUAUUAAUGUAAAUAAUAUCAAGAUUAAAUAAGUUCAAUACAAAAACUGAACCAUAUUAAUAUUGUGUUAAACAAAAAAAAAGUGUACUAUAAACUUCUCUCUAGACGUUAACUCGGUGUGUAUUGUGUACAAAAUACGAACUUGUGGACUAAUUUAGCUAGAUAAAAAUUUGUGUUGUGUGUAAAGCUUCGUUUUAUGUUUAAUUACGUAAAACAUUUAAGGUUAGUAAAAAUCAUUGAAAAAAUACAUUACAAUUCUUUACUAUUUUUAAAAUAAUUUUUUAUUUCAAUAAUCUGUUUUUUUCAGAUGGCUUUUAUGUAUGCAUUAGUUUUAUUUUUAAAUGAUUCGUCCAAUAAAGAAAUUGAUAUAUUGAAUAUCGUGGUACCGGAUGUAAAUAGCCUGAAUCAUUGUUAAAAAGUACUAAGUAUUGUAAAUUAUUACAAACGAUAGUUAAACAUUGUGAAGGGUCUGACCGACAUGGCCAACGUUUUAUGUUCAAAUAACUGGCCCAGCAGAAACAAUGGAAGAGGCAGAGGAAAAAUUAAUAAGAUUAAAAAGAACCCCUAUUCUUCUCUACCAAUAAUGAGUAGUCUGGUAAUGCAAAAGCGGCUGCUGUUGAAAAAACUUUCAAAUUAAAAGCAUUAGCAAAGGAUUGAUUAAAAAUAGAUAAUAUAUUUAGCCAAAUAGCUUUAGAGUUAACUGACGAACCCACUGAAAUUACAGGUAAUAUUUAUUAUUUAAAAUGUAAAUAUUGUUGAUUAAUUUCUAAUAGUUUUUUUACUAAUGUUUUUUUUUUUUACAAGGGAUAUAUAUUAAUUGAUAUAAAUUUAUUUUUAAUCGUUAAUUUUUAUACUAUCAAUUAAGUUAUAAUACUGAAAUUUUAUUUCAAAUUUUUUCAUUCCACUAGAACCUAAGAAAUAAAAGCCAUAAAAAUGUAACCAAAAAAUUGUGAAGAAACAAGCCUAAAAACAUAGUCUCGAAUGGUCAUCUACAUCAAUAGUGUCUUCGAUAUCUUC
Molecule: unclassified non-coding RNA, 1220 nt
Filed under: Melitaea cinxia (Glanville fritillary)
Lineage: Eukaryota; Metazoa; Arthropoda; Insecta; Lepidoptera; Nymphalidae
Description: misc RNA ENSMCXG00005019268.1
Source: RNAcentral